This 79-nucleotide small nucleolar RNA is filed under the name Astyanax mexicanus (Mexican tetra). RNAcentral describes it as "Small nucleolar RNA SNORD101 (ENSAMXG00000032030.1)". Lineage: Eukaryota; Metazoa; Chordata; Actinopteri; Characiformes; Acestrorhamphidae. The record is from RNAcentral.
GCUGAUAUGAUGAUACUUUUUAUCUUUAGUCGGAUUUCCCUUCACUCCAACUAUGAGUGAUAAUCGCAUUCUGACAAGC